Molecule: ribosomal RNA, 460 nt
Filed under: uncultured bacterium
Lineage: Bacteria
Description: partial 16S ribosomal RNA
Rfam family: Bacterial small subunit ribosomal RNA
Source: RNAcentral
CCUACGGGUGGCAGCAGUGAGGAAUAUUGGUCAAUGGGCGAAAGCCUGAACCAGCCAAGCCGCGUGAAGGAUGAAGGAUCUAUGGUUUGUAAACUUCUUUUAUAUGGGAAUAAAGUGAGGAACGUGUUCCUUUUUGUGUGUACCAUAUGAAUACGCAUCGGCUACCUCCGUGCCAGCAGCCGCGGUAAUACGGAGGAUGCGAGCGUUAUCCGGAUUUAUUGGGUUUAAAGGGUGCGCAGGUGGGUAUUUAAGUCAGCGGUGAAAGUUGGGGGCUCAACCAUAAAAGUGCCGUUGAAACUGGGGGACUUGAGUAUGUUUGAGGUAGGCGGAAUGCGUGGUGUAGCGGUGAAAUGCAUAGAUAUCGCGCAGAACCCCGAUUGCGAAGGCAGCUUACUAAACUAUAACUGACGCUGAGGCACGAAAGCGUGGGGAUCAAACAGGAUUAGAUACCCUUGUAGUC